UGCAAAAGGUGUUGUCCAUGUUGUCAUCCAUCUCACAGCAAGCAAGCGAAGCAGAGUCACAUAAAUUGAUGUAUUAUAUAUAAAUCCGUCAAUCCCCAUGCAUCCAUUACAAUUCCCACAUUAACAAACACAACAACCAUAAAUAUACAUAAUGUCCUAUAAAUUUAAGGUUCCAUUCCAUUGAUUUAGCCUAAAAAACUCAUCAUCACCAAAAACCAAGAAAACAUGAGCCCUGUUUUCUCAAAACAACAACAACAAAAUGUCAUCCUCCUCUUCCUCUGUUUCUCAUUUCUCCCCUUUCUUUCACUCUCCGCCAUAGACACCUUCGUCUUCGGCGGCUGCACUCAACUCCACUACUCCCCAAACUCCGCCUACGAGUCAAAUCUCAACUCGCUACUCACUUCCCUGGUCAACUCAGCCACAUACUCCUCCUACAACAACUACACCAUCCAAGGGUCUUCCCCACAGGACGCCCUGUACGGCCUCUACCAGUGCCGUGGCGACCUCUCCAUGCCGGACUGCGCCACCUGCAUCGCCCGCGCCGUCACCCAACUAGGGGGGCUGUGCUCCGAUUCCUGCGGGGGGGCGUUGCAGCUGGAGGGGUGUUAUGUGAAGUACGACAAUUCGAGCUUUCUUGGGGUGGAGGAGAAGACGGUGGUGCUGAAGAAGUGCGGGCCGUCGGUGGGGUAUGAAGAGGAGGCGAUGGGGCGGAGGGAUGCGGUGCUGGCGGCGUUGGCGGGGGCGAGUGGGUUGUAUAGAGUGGGUGGGGCGGGGAAAGUGCAAGGAGUGGCGCAGUGUGUGGGGGAUUUGAGUGGGAGUGAGUGUCAGGAUUGUGUGGGGGAGGCGAUCGGACGGCUGAAAAGUGAUUGUGGGACGGCGGAUUCUGGGGAUAUGUUUCUGGGAAAGUGUUAUGCGAGGUAUAACACUCAUGGGCCUCCUGUCUUCUCCAAGGCCCAUCAUGGUAAGCCAUUUUUCACCACUACUACUGCAAUUUCAUUGAUAAAUCUAAUGGUGAUGGUGAGAAGACAUUUGCGAUUAUCAUUGGGCUUCUAGCUGGAGUUGCUCUUGUUAUCAUUUUUCAUGUCUUUAUAAGAAAGGUGUUUGAAGGAUCUGGUAAAUAAUAAUAAAACAGCAAAUGGAAAAGCUUUUUAUAAAUUCAACCUCUAAAGGGAACUUAAGACAUCAUUAGUUGAGAAUGAGUUCUCAUCCUUAGGGGAUCCUAAGGCAUCAUUGAUAGAGAAGGAGUUAUCAAACUUACAGGGAGUCUAAGUUUAUCAAGUGAAGUGGUCUUCAUUUGAGAGUAGAAAGAUAAAGCAUCGAAGAGAAGGUGUCUCACACUUAGGAGAACCUAAGUGAUUCAUUAUUAAUAUUCACAUAUACUUAGGAGGUGCCUAAGUUUAUUUAGAAGAAAUCUCACAUCUAGGGGGAGCCUAGAUCAUCGACAUAUAAGGUUAGGCUAUACGUAUGUUACAACAAUUGUCAUGAUUUAACAGAUAUUUAUAACAUUAUAAAUACUUGACUUUUUAUAUUAAUGAAUCUAUCUUUUUCAA
Molecule: RNA transcript, 1550 nt
Organism: Benincasa hispida (wax gourd)
Lineage: Eukaryota; Viridiplantae; Streptophyta; Magnoliopsida; Cucurbitales; Cucurbitaceae
Gene: PDLP7
Gene name: plasmodesmata-located protein 7
Source: RefSeq, a predicted model, not a curated record